Molecule: ribosomal RNA, 378 nt
Filed under: uncultured bacterium
Lineage: Bacteria
Description: bacterial SSU rRNA
Rfam family: Bacterial small subunit ribosomal RNA
Source: RNAcentral
ACUCCUACGGGAGGCAGCAGUGGGGAAUAUUGCACAAUGGGGGAAAACCCUGAUGCAGCCAUGCCGCGUGUGUGAAGAAGGCCUUCGGGUUGUAAAGCACUUUCAGUAGGGAGGAAGGUAGUGUAGUUAACACCUGCAUUAUUUGUACGUUACCUACAGAAGAAGCACCGGCUAACUCCGUGCCAGCAGCCGCGGUAAGUACGGAGGGUGCGAGCGUUAAUCGGAAUUACGUGGGCGUAAAGCGCAUGCAGGCGGCCUGUUAAGUCAGAUGUGAAACGCCCGGGGUCUUAACCUCGGAAUUGCAUUUGAAACUGGCAGGCUAGAGUCUGGUAGAGGGGUUAGAAUUUCGAGGUGUAGCGGUAGAAUGCGUAGAGAUCG